Molecule: long non-coding RNA, 658 nt
Organism: Ochotona princeps (American pika)
Lineage: Eukaryota; Metazoa; Chordata; Mammalia; Lagomorpha; Ochotonidae
Exons: 3
Source: RefSeq, a predicted model, not a curated record
GCCCUGGCUUGAGAGAUGCCCCAGUGAGCAUCACCACUGCCUGUAGAGAAGAGAGCACCCAGGGGUGUCAGCACUGGGCAGAAGGCCUGAGCUGGAGGACACCACUGAGGAGGCAGGGAUCCAAGGGACUCAACAGUUGCUGGAGGAAAUGAAGGAGCUCCUCUGGGUCCCCAGCUUCCUAACUCUCCAUGGAGCUGUCUUCUCUCCCUCUCUGCCGAAAUCCAGGGAGGAAAUCGAAAUGCAGAACUCAGGAGUGGGAGCCGCUGAAAUAUUGAAGACAGAAGGGACAGGCGGCCCAAGGGCGCCGUGGACCCCGCCACCACCGGAGCUCCUGAAUAUUGCACAAGGUGGCCAACUACCCCUGCUCCACCCCCCGGUCCUGGCACUGCUCUGGCUGCAGGAAGCUGUAACUCUUGCUGCUGCUUUCCAUGAGGGCGAGCAUCAUGUGUGCAGAAAGUCUUCCUGCUUUAUCCUUCCAAGUUGAGAGUGAACUCUAGGCCAGAAGGGGCCACACCUGUUAGUCAGCAGGAAGGGAGGCCUUCAGCCUAGCGGGUCAGACCCAGGCGUAGAUGCUGGCAUCCCAUACCGGGACACCUGGGUUCAGCACCUGACCCCAGCUUCUGACUCCAGUGGCCUGCACACGCAGACUAUGGGAGGC